CCUCUGCACAUGGUCAGGAACGCUCGUACUGUUGCUUUUGUAAUUAUUCCUAACCCAACCCCCCGCCUUUUUCCCGAGGCUCCCGGCUCAGUAAUAUAAACCUCAAACCCUUUUUAAUGUCCAGUUUGUCAACCUCAAAAAGCCACACAAUUUAGCAACACACACACUAUAGAAACGUUUGAAAACGAAUGAACAUUAAAUUAAAUAAAACUACACAAGGGGAUCUCUGCAUUUUUCAAGGCCGGUGGUCCCAAACACAGGACGUGUAAGGGAUAUAUGUAAUUCUGCAAAAAAGAGAGCUGCAUAUUCUCUGAUAAAAAUACAGUAAUAUAUUAAAGUCUGAUUUCCUCCCCACUAGGGGGAGUAUUGUACUGCUGACACAACUACACAAUUUUGCACCCUCCCAGUGCUUUGCACCAACCUCAGGAUUGCUUUAUCUCUAGCAUCUUAAUAAGUAGAUAACCUGAUUUAUUACUGUAGAAAGGUCUUGCUGCUGGCAUGUUUUCAGUUUCUGAAAGAGAGAACAUUGCUUCUUUAAUUUCAAGGUUUUUUGGUUUGUUUGUUUUUAACGCAUUAGGAAAAAAGGGCCAAUUUAAAGGUGUGGAUUCACUGAAGUAUGUUUUACACCAUCUCCAAGCACCAUUCUAGCAUUUCAGUCUCUUCUGAUUCAGAUGAAACAGAACUGGGUGUCCUCCAUAUUGGUGACACCUCACUACGAAACACUGAGCAGUUUCGCAUAGCUGUUUAAUAAUAUGUCAGCUUGCAUGGAGCAUUAUUAUUUAUACUCCACCCCACUCUGGGUGGCUCCCAGCAGAUUAAAAACAGAAGAAAACAUCAAACAUAAAAAACUUUCCUAAGCAGGGCUGCCUUCAGAUAACUUGCAUGGCACCAAACAAUGAUGCCCUCAUAACUACUUUUUGAAAACCACCCUGCAGGUAACGGUGAAACUACUGAAGUACAGUGUCCCCAACCCUGAUCUCCCUGGGCUGUUCCAGAAGAAUACUAUUGGCAGUUGCAGAGGUGGCACCAAAGGCACUCAGUAGCAAUUGUUUCAAUGGCUUUAUGCAGCCCACCAUUUCAGUGUGACGAGUGCCAACCAAUGCUGCAACUGCUUAGCAUCUUCAGUCUUUCAUAAUAAUGUACGAGGGUUCAAACUAUGCAGGGGUGCAGGGAUGUGUAUUCUAGCCCCACCCCAACAUUCCCAACUCCUCCUCCUGCCAUUUUUCAUUCAGCAUAAAGGUAUGCAAGAAGAUUUGAACUGGAACCCAGAUUGUGCAGGGUUCCCAGUUGCAGAGAGUAUUAGGAUCACAUUCAACACUGUUAUAAUUCCCCUUUGAGUAUUAGGAUCACAUUCAACACUGUUAUAAUUCCCCUUUGAACCAUUGCACAGAAUAUGUGAAGGUCAGCAAAGAACCCAGUAUACAGGUGAUAUUUGGAUAGGACUUUAAACCCACACAGAUUCUUCCAAAUGCCUGAAGAGCACUUUUCUCCACUAGGCACCAGAGCCUAAUUUAGGAAGAGAUGUAGUAAUUGUAUCCACACCCCUCAUUUGUAUAAAGGAGAGUGACAGAACUCAUGCAUGCAAAAUCAUGGCUAGUAGAACAGGCUUCCAUUAGCUGUGUUUGGUUACUUUGGAGUGAGGAAAACAUUGCAUAUGCUCUGAGAUACGCCUUUCCCGCCUGCCCCCCGACUCAAGCUACAACAUAAAAAAUGAUUUUGGAAGCUACCUACACACUAGAGACCUUUGACUACUGUGUUGUAUGUGCUAACUUCAGACAAUUAUCAUGCUUGCUUCAGUGUUUUUCAUCCCAGAGAAGCAAUCUUUAUUUCCCCACAUCUUUGAUUUUAGCACAUGCACCUGGAAAAAAGAGACAAAAUUUUCAUUGAAUUCUGAAACCCUUUUAGGUUUCAUGCCUCAACGCUAAUGUCCCCCAUGAAUAAAUCAAAGCUUGUACCUGUACAAGUUGUCUUUUAAUGCAGAGCAAUGGCAUACUCUUAUACAUUGGGUUGCACAAAAAAGGCAUCUUCUGCCAGGUAAAAGACAAGUUACCACUACUGAUAACAAACUGAAAAGUGUAUCUUGAUGAAGGAGCUAUACUUAUCCUAAAUUCAGUUUCCUGUCUGAAAUACCUUGCAUAAGGAGGGAAAGUUCCUCCCUUUGUUUUAACAGCUAUUUUUAUGUUCCCCCAGUUUGCAAUAUAUUUUCUGAAAUGCCUGCACUGGAAGUAGUGUCUGUAGCAACUGUGGUGUAUCACUAAUUCAGUAGUGUCCCUAUAGAUUAACUAUAAACAUGUUAUUUCCUUUGCUUCUUUGCUUCAAAAGCAGUGAAGUCAACCUCUUUUCAGAUACAUGCAGUUGAUCAUCUGUCAGCAGUGGUAUCUGAAAAGCUGCUUCCUGGAUUUGAUGGCAAGCAACUGCAUAUUGUGCAACACACAGUGGGAAGUUCUAAAGAACAAAUUGGCAAAGUUCAUCCAACACAUCACUGCUAGUGUCAUCUAUCAAAGCAUUUGCUAUGGAUUUAGAUGCCAUUUUGCCAAGGAUUUUCUUCUGGGCCUGGAUGGCCAAACCUUUGGAAUUGAAGACAUCUGUUGCCACUGGAAGAAAAGGAGUAGAUGUUAGUACCUUCAGACCAUCUGAUGCAAUCCAUUGAACGUGAAAGCAUUUUAAAGCACUGUGUGAUGGGGAAAUAACUAAAGUUUCCCACUACAUAUACUUCCUGUAUUAAAAUGCUGAUUAAUUUCCUUGUGUAACAAUUAAAAGAACUAAAACCUUUA
Podarcis muralis (Common wall lizard) is the source of this 2774-nucleotide long non-coding RNA. RefSeq lists it as uncharacterized. The record is from RefSeq and is a predicted model, not a curated record. NCBI's taxonomy places the organism in Eukaryota, Metazoa, Chordata, Lepidosauria, Squamata, Lacertidae.